CUGUAUCACAAAAUAAAAUUUUUUUUGUAUGUGAUAAUUUAUAAAAUGUACAAGUAGGUGGUUUAUAAAUUAUAUUAUUUUCAAAAUGAUUUAUUUGGGAAAUAUUUUAAGAGAUUUGGUGAGGCAUGCAACCAUUCCUUUCAUUUCGACCACUGACUACUCUCUAGCAAUACAUAAUCUGGAUAUGUCUUUAUUUGCUUUCGUCAUAUACAUAUUAUUUGGUAAUCUCAUUUCCAAUAUUGAAGAAAUGCUACAAAAUUUUGUUCAUUGUUUCAAAGAAAAUCUUUCAACAAGUCAUCAAAUCUUAUCUCAUUUAU
RNAcentral lists this long non-coding RNA (317 nucleotides) under Androctonus crassicauda. Lineage: Eukaryota; Metazoa; Arthropoda; Arachnida; Scorpiones; Buthidae. The record is from RNAcentral.